CAACACUAGAUUGUGCGUUAAAUAUAUUUACUUAAUUACCUUUUGCAGCUGAAGUAUUCCUCUUGAAAACUGUGCCCGCAGAAUGCUCCUCACAGCAUACACACCAAAAACCAUUUUUUUCUUAUCAGUACCACGAGUUUUAUUUUUAUUCGGCGUAGGCUACUAUUUAUACGCAUUUUCAUGAUAACCCAGGAUUUUUUAGAGUAUAUUUGAGUUUUGCAAGCUCGUGCACUCUUUUUUAUGUAUUCCUAAUAUAAAUUGUAUGAGUGAUAGUUUUGUCCCAAAGCUCUCCUUUCCUCCUCAGAACUGCUGGGCAGUGACUGCAGGGUAGUGCAUUAUUGUUCAAGCUCGUGACGUAGACGAAAGUGAAACUAACCACAGCUCGUGCAUCAGAUCAGUUCAUUUUCAUUUUAAAUUCAAUUAGGAAAUUUUCAAAGUCAUUCAAAAUGAGUUUUCAGUUCAGUUCUACAGAUUUAAAACCUAGCACAGAAAUAAAAGAAUCUGUGGCAACGGCAGAGGAAGAGUUCAAGAACAGCACUGAAGAGACAGACAGAAAGCUCGUUCCUGAAGACGAGGAUUCUGGAGGCUCUGGACAUGUCCUGCCACAGCGGAAACCAGUGUUCGCUGGAGGCUCUGGACAUGUCCUGCCACAGUGGAAACAAAGAUUUUUCUAUUUUGGUGAGAUUAUUACAAUAAACCCUCAUCUUGAAGAUAAAGAUGAGGAUGAAGAAAUGGAAAUGUCCAGGACUCAGUCUAUGGACAACUUGGCUCUGAUGCAGAAGCCUCUCUAGCAGUGAUGUGUUUUGAAGUUCAGUGCAUUUCAGUUCAAUAAUCCACAUCAAUACAUUCAUACUGUGGGUUCAAAUGUAAUAUCAUUCUGGCCAUUCAUAUGUAAAGAUUGUACAAAGCUCUUUCUUUAGCUUACAUUUAUUAAAUGACACAUGCACUUGAAUGUUUUAUUAUUUUGUGAGGAUUUGUUAAUUUGUUAUUUCGGUGGCUGAACAGAUUUUAUUAGCGGGUGUUUGAUUUCAGGUGAAUCAAAGCUUCAUCCGGCAGACCAAGGAUUGAAAAUAAAGCAUCCAUAACCAGUUCCUUAUCAAAGAAAUGACUCUUUCAGAUACAGUCUUGGCACAGUAUAUUUGUAACUGAUUACAUGACCAAAGACAGUGAGUGAGAGAGCACAUCUGUGUCUGUAAACACUUUUAAUCAAACAUUUGUGUAAUUAAGAAUCUCU
Molecule: long non-coding RNA, 1234 nt
Organism: Cyprinus carpio carpio
Lineage: Eukaryota; Metazoa; Chordata; Actinopteri; Cypriniformes; Cyprinidae
Source: Ensembl